CAGCCGCCGCGGGAAUACGAAGGGUGCAAGCGUUAAUCGGAAUUACUGGGCGUAAAGCGUGCGUAGGCGGUGAGUUAAGUCUGCUGUGAAAUCCCCGGGCUCAACCUGGGAAUGGCAGUGGAUACUGGCUCGCUAGAGUGUGUCAGAGGAUGGUGGAAUUCCCGGUGUAGCGGUGAAAUGCGUAGAGAUCGGGAGGAACAUCAGUGGCGAAGGCGGCCAUCUGGGUCAACACUGACGCUGAGGCACGAAAGCGUGGGGAGCAAACAGGAUUAGAUACCCCAGUAGUCCCUGUCUCUUAUAC
RNAcentral lists this ribosomal RNA (301 nucleotides) under uncultured bacterium. Its description in RNAcentral is "partial 16S ribosomal RNA". It matches the Rfam family "Bacterial small subunit ribosomal RNA", at positions 509 to 807 of the family's 1533-position model. The record is from RNAcentral.